RNAcentral lists this ribosomal RNA (447 nucleotides) under uncultured bacterium. Its description in RNAcentral is "bacterial SSU rRNA". It matches the Rfam family "Bacterial small subunit ribosomal RNA", at positions 355 to 825 of the family's 1533-position model. The record is from RNAcentral.
UGGGGAAUAUUGGACAAUGGGCGCAAGCCUGAUCCAGCCAUGCCGCGUGAGUGACGAAGGCCUUAGGGUUGUAAAGCUCUUUUGGCAGGGACGAUAAUGACGGUACCCGCAGAAUAAGCCCCGGCUAACUUCGUGCCAGCAGCCGCGGUAAUACGAAGGGGGCUAGCGUUGUUCGGAAUCACUGGGCGUAAAGCGCACGUAGGCGGAUUUGUUAGUCAGAGGUGAAAUCCCGGGGCUCAACCUCGGAACUGCCUUUGAUACUGCAAGUCUCGAGUCCGAGAGAGGUGAGUGGAAUUCCUAGUGUAGAGGUGAAAUUCGUAGAUAUUAGGAAGAACACCAGUGGCGAAGGCGGCUCACUGGCCCGAUACUGACGCUGAGGUGCGAAAGCGUGGGGAGCAAACAGGAUUAGAUACCCUAGUAGUCCCUGAGCGGGCUGGCAAGGCGCAU